Long non-coding RNA from Anolis carolinensis (green anole), 3700 nucleotides. RefSeq lists it as uncharacterized. The transcript has 3 exons. NCBI's taxonomy places the organism in Eukaryota, Metazoa, Chordata, Lepidosauria, Squamata, Anolidae. The record is from RefSeq and is a predicted model, not a curated record.
UCAAUUGAAGUUUUUUGGGAGGCGGCUUGGCCCUUUCCACAAUAAAUUUCUUUCAUCCAGAAUCCCAGACAUUUUAUGUAUACUAUUUGUGACAGGAUACAUAAACAUAUGUCUUGCAAACUAAAUAGGAGGUGUAAUACCCCUUAGUCUUUAAGUAAACAUUCAUGCUUACAUUGCUGGAUUCUUGGAAACUUUCUUUUAAGAAGUAUUUUCAUUUGAUGUAGCCUAUGCAAAGACAAGGUGAUUACAAGUGCAUUGUAGUGUAUGACCAAAGAAUGAUCCUGCCACAUUGAAACUCAUCAUUGAAGCAGUUGUCAGUUUUACCAAGCACUUGCAGUAUUGCAUUGUUUUAGUCUAUGAAUGAAUGACAUGAAUCCUGAAGCUCUGAAAUUCUCUAAAAGCCAAGAACUAAAAAGAAAUACUAUUGAGCAUAUAAUCCCCAUGUAGCAGAUGGGGCCAUUUUCAAGGUCUUCAAAUGUUUGUUAGAUAUAUGUAGGUCACGAAGAGUCGGAAACAACUGAGUGAAUGAAGAAGAAGAUGCGUAUAUGUGUUAUUUACAUUUAUUGGCAGGCUAAUGGCUGCCCAUCUCUAUUUCUUAAUUUUGGGGAUAUUAGAUAACAAAAAUAGAGGCUGAAUUUAUCAAAGAAAAUGUCUUCAUUUUGGGGAGGUAGAAACAGGAUUAUGUUAUACCCUGAAUGAAGAUGAACGUUAAACUACAAUUCUAAGAAUCAUCCCCCCAUUCACUUUGGUCUACAGCUCAAUUUUGUCAGCUUCCUGUUAACAAUUUACACAAAAGUACAUGCAGAUUGUGCACGCCUAACCCUUUUUGGAAGCGGUGCAGAGAGCUAUUUGUGUGACCUUGCACUCCAUCCAAAGGCUUCUCACUGAUAGCAAGUGUCAAGCUGCAGGAACAGGCCUUACGGAUCAUGCUUACUGGGGAGAGAGGAGGCAAUUCAGACAAUAAAGAUCUGACUGACUGCUCUGUGCUCUCAGUGGAAGGAAAGGUCGGGUUCUUCCCUCUGAGAAUGGCCUGUCAUUUCUCUCCUGAUGCAAGCUGAAACCAGACGUGUCUACUGAAUCACUUCUUCCUCUUCUGCUUCCAACUGUGACUUCCAAAACGUCUCCAAUGAAGAGAAUAAAACUUUCUGUUUCACAAGCAAAGUCAAGUCAACCCUCCACAUUUGCAGGGCAUGCUGUUUCCCCCAUAAGGUAAGAUAAUGUAGCUGUUGCAAUUUUCCCUCUUGUGUAUAUUUUUAAAUCUCAAUAUCACACUCAUAUCUAUUUGCUGCCUGUAAUUUUGUUCACUUCUCAACUAGGACUACCUAACUGAAAACCAGGGCAAUCUCUCCUGUACGUUUAAUGGUUGUGUAGAAGAGGGAUUUCAGCAGGUGCUUGUCAGGCAGCCAGGUAACAAGCACACUUGCUGUAAUCCUAUAAAAUACAUCUGUCAUAAAGAAAGGUUUCACAAUUGUAAAUCAAUUGCAAUUGUUUUAGAACCCUCUGGAGCUCAUAAAACAUGAACAAAAAUAUUCUUAAUAAGUGAAAUCCAAGAUAAAAUAUCCAAUUCUGAAAGGAGCAAAGAGUUCCAAGACGACUCUAGUGAGAUUUCACAGAUAAAUUUCCACAUUUCUGAUUUUUUGUUUCCUUUGUGAGCUAGUCCACAAAGUAGCAAUUUUAAUAUAACGAAUUUGUCCAUUUAAAAUUCAGUCUUAAUCAACUAGUAUGAGCAAGGGCACCAGUGACACAAUGGGUUCCAGAUGAAGUGCUGAUCUGAAGGUUGGUGAUUUGAAUCCGCGAGACAGGGUAAGCUUCCGUCUGUCAGCCCUAGCUUACAGGGACAUGAAAGAAGCCUCCCAGCAAGUUAGUAACACAUCCGGGUGUCCCCUGGGCAACGUCUUUGUAGACGGCCAUUUCUCUCACACCAGAAGUGACUUCCAGUAUGUUCACUUCUGGCACCAUUAAAAAAAACUAGUAUGGGCCAGGUCUUGACUAAAUCUGUUCUGGACUUUUCUGGCAUAAUAUAAAGAGCCUUCUAAACUAUACUGGUUUUCAGUGAAUAUUAGUUAUUUUGCACCAAGAAAAAUAAAUAAAAUGGCUAAUCAAAUAGAAGUAUUUGGAUGUUACCUAACACACAAAGUAUUCUUUUGGGGACAAAUGCUCCAUUUACCAGCCAAAAGGAGAGGCUGGGCCAUAGUUAGUAACUACACAGUCCUGGUGCAAUUGCAUAGUAAUUAUGUGUUCCAGCAAAGUUAAACAGCUUGGUAAUUAUGUUCAGUGGUUCCCAAAAUAUCAUUUAACACGCGUCCUGGUUUGUAAAACUAAAAUAAUGAUGAGUUUGCUUGGUGAUUACAUAGCGCUUACCACAUAUAUGUUCUGCCAGUGCACGAUAGCUAUAUACCCUGUCAUUAAAUAUCACAAUUUUUCAGGUCAUAGAAAGGAUCUCUAAACAGUUCCGCCUGUAUAUUGAAGCUUCAUUGGAAAUGCAGCACACGUAUUCACGGGGCUAUUCUUCUAUAUGGACACAUUGCAAAGCCUUCAGAUGAACUUCAUGUAGAAGUCUUUCUUCUAGAUCCCUGAUGCCAAUUAGUAAGGAGAGAGCAGUUUUAAAGGCACAUGCCUCCUGCUCCCAUGCCUAUUUACUCACAAAUAACUGAAUUCAGCGGGCUUUCUCUCCUCAUACAAAAGAGCAAUUUCUCAAAAGUAAAUCUCAUGGAAUUUAAUAAGACUCACUUACUCCUGACUCCAGGUUUCCAUCUUUUCUUCAUCAUGCUCCUGUGGCUUUAACAAUUUGAGUUCAGUACUCUGGUUUUAAUUAUCCUUUCACACCAUAUAGUUAUAGCGCUAUACUCCAAAUUAGCUGUCAUCAGAGUGUCCCAUGUAGGUGUGAUGUCUCAUGGGCCUUGUAGUCCCGUUCCUAGUACUAUUGUGGCAGACGAAGAGGAAAACAUGGGAUUUUCACCGGUUCAGCCAGAAUCGGAGCCUCUGCACCUGGAGGAUGUUUGCCCUCAAGAAGUCAGCCAAACAAGCCUUGGGCAGAAUUUUCCCCCGUUUUCUCGAAAGGACAAUUAUAAUAGAGAUAGAGGAGCGAGGGAGGCGAAUCGCCGGAGCCUCAGAAUCGCAGCCAAACAAUUAGCUGAUUAGGUCUGCUUCCCUUGGGAAAUUCUAAGGAGUCAUGCAUCUGGACAGAGUUGGGUUUCACUUCUAGUUCUCCGGGGAAAGUGUUCUUCUGGCGGGAAACGAGACCCUAUUUAGGUGUUUUGCCGCGAAGGAAACCUUGCGGAGUCAACUCGUCAGCUUGAGGAGUGAGAUCGUGUGUGCACUUCGUAAUCCCCAGUUCCUUGUUUCCAGGACCAAGUUCCAAGCCUGCCUUGUUUCACGUUUGCCGCGGACCUCGCCACGGACCUUGUUCUUGCUUCUUGUUUGCCUCGUAUCAAGUCUUGUCUAGCCAAGUAUCAAGUUUGUUUUCCAGCCUUGUUGUCAAGCUUCAAUGGACUAAAAGACCUUGUCAUCUCCCCACACUAUUGCUUAGCAAAGUGUGUGUUUCGGUUAUUGGAUUAUAACUUUGGACUCUAAUAUCACAUAUUGGACAUUGUUUUCCUGGACUAUAUUUGACCUUUCCUGAAAGGUCUACUUCUGAACUAUAUUCUUCACUUGUUUUUAUUGACUUUAUAUAUUCCUAUAAUAAAGAUAUUAGAUAGAA